UGCCUCAUACAUGCAAGUCGAACGAGGUUUUCGGACCUAGUGGCGCACGGGUGAGUAACAUGUGGGAAUCUACCUGAAGGUUCGGAAUAACUGCGGGAAACUGUAGCUAAUACCGGAUGUGUCUGCAAAGAGAAAGAUUUAUCGCCUUCAGAUGAGCCCGCACUAGAUUAGCUAGUUGGUGAGGUAACUGCUCCACCAAGGCUACGAUCUAUAGCUGAUUUGAGAGGAUGAUCAGCCACACUGGGACUGAGACACGGCCCAGACUCCUACGGGAGGCAGCAGUAGGGAAUAUUGGACAAUGGGGGAAACCCUGAUCCAGCAAUGCCGCGUGAGUGAAGAAGGCCUUAGGGUUGUAAAACUCUUUCAUCAAUGAUGAUAAUGACAUUAGUUGAAGAAGAAGCUCCGGCUAACUUCGUGCCAGCAGCCGCGGUAAUACGAAGGGGGCUAGCGUUGUUCGGAAUCACUGGGCGUAAAGCGUAUGUAGGCGGAUCAAAAAGUUAGAUGUGAAAUCCCUGGGCUCAACCCAGGAACUGCAUUUAAAACUAGUGAUCUAGAAAUUGGUAAAGGUUAGUAGAAUUUCCAGUGUAGAGGUGAAAUUCGUAGAUAUUGGAAAGAAUACCAGAAGCGAAGGCGACUAACUAGGCCAUUUUUGACGCUGAGAUACGAAAGCGUGGGUAGCAAACAGGAUUAGAUACCCUGGUAGUCCACGCAGUAAACGAUGAGUGCUAGUCGCUGGGACAAUAGUUUCAGUGUCGUAGCUAACGCAUUAAGCACUCCGCCU
RNAcentral lists this ribosomal RNA (781 nucleotides) under uncultured Alphaproteobacteria bacterium. RNAcentral's name for it is "bacterial SSU rRNA". It matches the Rfam family "Bacterial small subunit ribosomal RNA", at positions 45 to 874 of the family's 1533-position model. Lineage: Bacteria; Pseudomonadati; Pseudomonadota; Alphaproteobacteria. The record is from RNAcentral.